AUUGAACGCUGGCGGCAUGCCCUACACAUGCAAGUCGAACGGCAGCACGGGGCAACCUGGUGGCGAGUGGCGAACGGGUGAGUAAUGCAUCGGAACGUGCCAUUGAGUGGGGGAUAACGUAGCGAAAGUUGCGCUAAUACCGCAUAUUCUGUGAGCAGGAAAGCAGGGGACCGCAAGGCCUUGCGCUCUUUGAGCGGCCGAUGUCAGAUUAGCUAGUUGGUGAGGUAACGGCUUACCAAGGCGACGAUCUGUAGCGGGUCUGAGAGGAUGAUCCGCCACACUGGAACUGAGACACGGUCCAGACUCCUACGGGAGGCAGCAGUGGGGAAUUUUGGACAAUGGGCGCAAGCCUGAUCCAGCCAUGCCGCGUGAGUGAAGAAGGCCUUCGGGUUGUAAAGCUCUUUUCGGUACCGGAAAGGAAAUACGCGCAGGCUAAUACCCU
RNAcentral lists this ribosomal RNA (442 nucleotides) under uncultured bacterium. Its description in RNAcentral is "bacterial SSU rRNA". It matches the Rfam family "Bacterial small subunit ribosomal RNA", at positions 30 to 506 of the family's 1533-position model. The record is from RNAcentral.